AGAGCGAACGCUGGCGGCAGGCCUAAUACAUGCAAGUCGAACGGAUCCUUCGGGAUUAGUGGCGGACGGGUGAGUAACACGUGGGAACGUACCCUUUGGUUCGGAACAACUCAGGGAAACUUGAGCUAAUACCGAAUGUGCCCUUCGGGGAAAAGAUUUAUCGCCAUUGGAGCGGCCCGCGUCUGAUUAGCUAGUUGGUAGGGUAAAGGCCUACCAAGGCUACGAUCAGUAGCUGGUCUGAGAGGAUGAUCAGCCACACUGGGACUGAGACACGGCCCAGACUCCUACGGGAGGCAGCAGUAGGGAAUCUUGCGCAAUGGGCGAAAGCCUGACGCAGCCAUGCCGCGUGAAUGAUGAAGGUCUUAGGAUUAGUAAAUUCUUUCAGCGGGACGCUAAUGACGGUACCGCAGAGAACGCCCGGCUAACUUCGUGCCAGCAGCCGC
Molecule: ribosomal RNA, 443 nt
Filed under: uncultured bacterium
Lineage: Bacteria
Description: SSU rRNA
Rfam family: Bacterial small subunit ribosomal RNA
Source: RNAcentral